CCUGCAACAGCCUCAGAAUGAAUACAAGAGAAUCACUUCUCCCUUGAAGUAUCAGACAAGAUGUGUUGCAGCCUUUCCUGAUCAGCAAGGCUUCUUGGUUGGUUCAAUCGAGGGGAGGGUUGGUGUACAUCAUCUAGAUGAUGCACAACAAAGUAAGAACUUCACUUUUAAAUGCCAUAGAGAUGGCAAUGAGAUAUACUCGGUCAACUCCUUAAACUUCCAUCCAGUGCAUCACACAUUUGCAACUGCAGGAUCUGAUGGUGCUUUUAAUUUUUGGGAUAAGGAUAGCAAACAGAGACUCAAGGCCAUGUCACGGUGCUCUCUUGCAAUACCCUGCAGUACUUUCAACAGUGAUGGUUCAAUAUUUGCAUAUUCGGUGUGUUAUGACUGGAGUAAGGGUGCAGAAAAUCACAACCCACAAAC
This 423-nucleotide unclassified non-coding RNA is filed under the name Hevea brasiliensis (rubber tree). The record is from RNAcentral. Lineage: Eukaryota; Viridiplantae; Streptophyta; Magnoliopsida; Malpighiales; Euphorbiaceae.